RNAcentral lists this ribosomal RNA (468 nucleotides) under uncultured Syntrophomonas sp. Its description in RNAcentral is "bacterial SSU rRNA". It matches the Rfam family "Bacterial small subunit ribosomal RNA", at positions 337 to 796 of the family's 1533-position model. The record is from RNAcentral. Lineage: Bacteria; Bacillati; Bacillota; Clostridia; Eubacteriales; Syntrophomonadaceae.
UCCUACGGGUGGCUGCAGUGGGGAAUAUUGCGCAAUGGGGGAAACCCUGACGCAGCGACGCCGCGUGAGCGAAGAAGGCCUUAGGGUUGUAAAGCUCUGUUUUAAGGGACGAAUGUUACGGGGAGUAAUAUGCCCUGUAAAUGACGGUACCUUAAGAGGAAGCCCCGGCUAACUACGUGCCAGCAGCCGCGGUAAGACGUAGGGGGCGAGCGUUGUCCGGAAUUACUGGGCGUAAAGAGCACGUAGGCGGGAACUUAAGUCAGGUGGGAAAGACCGGGGCUCAACUCCGGGGUGGCACUUGAAACUGGGUUUCUUGAGGGCAGGAGAGGAAAGCAGAAUUCCUGGUGUAGCGGUGAAAUGCGUAGAAAUCAGGAGGAAUACCAGUGGCGAAGGCGGCUUUCUGGACUGACCCUGACGCUGAGGUGCGAAAGCGUGGGUAGCAAACAGGAUUAGAUACCCGAGUAGUCA